Molecule: long non-coding RNA, 588 nt
Filed under: Scleropages formosus (Asian bonytongue)
Lineage: Eukaryota; Metazoa; Chordata; Actinopteri; Osteoglossiformes; Osteoglossidae
Description: lncRNA (ENSSFOG00015030200.1)
Source: RNAcentral
GUCCUACUUGUGCCUAAAAGAUUUCAGUGAACAAAUGAUGUGGGAGGCAUAUUCUAUAUUUUUUCUGGAACAUGAGACAGCAGUUUAUUUCUGUUUCAUUACCAAAAGUGAAACUAAUGUGAUAGUGAAAGUGAAAGAGAAUGUUCUGAUACAGUAAAGACUGUGACUCUCGUCUGAAAGAAACACUAUAAAGCAGGGUGUCAAACAGCCUCUGUAGAAUGGGGAACUGCAUGUCAAAUGGCUGCAAAUGUCCAUCUACUGGAGAUGAAACUUACCAGGAAACCACUAGAAACAAAAAAUCAUUUUGUGAGGACUGCUGCUCAUGUUGCUGUCCAGUUGUUUUGCCUUCCAGAGGACAGCACCAGAUCCUUCCUGAAGAAAAUGCUUCAGCUGAUAACACGGAGGUGGGAAACAGAGCUGUUCAUAAUGCAAAACCAGAAACAGAGUCUGCAAUUACAGAUCAACGUAGAAGAAGCCCAAGGAAUUCAGCAGAGAGGAAACAAGGCCUCAUCUCAAAAAAAAAAGUCUCAAAAGUUAAUCUUUGAAUUUCAGUAUUACUGACCUCUGCUCACUGUCAUCUGAGUGUUU